Molecule: ribosomal RNA, 1190 nt
Filed under: Haptophyta environmental samples
Lineage: Eukaryota; Haptophyta
Description: SSU rRNA
Rfam family: Eukaryotic small subunit ribosomal RNA
Source: RNAcentral
AGCAGGCGCGUAAAUUGCCCGAAUCCUGACACAGGGAGGUAGUGACAAGAAAUAACAAUACAGGGCUUUCUAAGUCUUGUAAUUGGAAUGAGUACAAUUUACAUCUCUUCACGAGGAUCAAUUGGAGGGCAAGUCUGGUGCCAGCAGCCGCGGUAAUUCCAGCUCCAAUAGCGUAUAUUAAAGUUGUUGCAGUUAGAACGCUCGUAGUCGGAUUUCGGGGCGUUCCGACCGGUCUGCCGAUGGGUAUGCACUGGCCGGAGUGUCCUUUUUGCCGGAGACCGUGCCUACUCUUAACUGAGCGGGGGCGGGAGACGGCACUUUUACUUUGAAAAAAUCAGAGUGUUUCAAGCAGGCAGCUCGCUCUUGCAUGGAUUAGCAUGGGAUAAUGAAAUAGGACUUUGGUGCUAUUUUGUUGGUUUCGAACACCGAAGUAAUGAUGAGAAGGGACAGUCAGGGGCACUCGUAUUCCGCCGAGAGAGGUGAAAUUCUCAGACCAGCGGAAGACGAACCACUGCGAAAGCAUUUGCCAGGGAUGUUUUCACUGAUCAAGAACGAAAGUUAGGGGAUCGAAGACGAUCAGAUACCGUCGUAGUCUUAACCAUAAACCAUGCCGACUAGGGAUUGGGGGAUGUUCACUGAUUGACUUCCUCAGCACCUUACGGGAAACUAAAGUCUUUGGGUUCCGGGGGGAGUAUGGUCGCAAGGCUGAAACUUAAAGGAAUUGACGGAAGGGCACCACCAGGAGUGGAGCCUGCGGCUUAAUUUGACUCAACACGGGGAAACUUACCAGGUCCAGACAUUGUGAGGAUUGACAGAUUGAGAGCUCUUUCUUGAUUCGAUGGGUGGUGGUGCAUGGCCGUUCUUAGUUGGUGGAGUGAUUUGUCUGGUUAAUUCCGUUAACGAACGAGACCUUAGCCUGCUAAAUAGUGACGUGAACACUUCGUUCGCGGGCCACUUCUUAGAGGGACAACUUGUCUUCAACAAGUGGAAGUUUGAGGCAAUAACAGGUCUGUGACGCCCUUAGAUGCUCUGGGCCGCACGCGCGCUACACUGAUGCACUCAACGAGUCUCCACCUUCACUGAAAAGUGCGGGAAACCUUCGAACUUGCAUCGUGAUGGGGAUAGAUUAUUGCAACUAUUAAUCUUCAACGAGGAAUACCUAGUAAGCGCAUGUCAUCAGCGCACGUUGA